GUCCAACUAAAACUAGGAAAAGUAAAGAUAUAAGUAAAGUAGGAAACAUAAUAGACUUAGGAAAACGUCUUCUCUUGGCCAGUGGGAGUGUAGAAUGCCACAUAUGGAUAAGAUUAGGCUUGAACUUCAUCUCUGAUCUGGAACAGGUUUUGUAGGAGAAUGAUCCUUGAAUUGAGCCUUAAAACUAGGAAACUUAUCCAAGUCAACCAAACAUCUGUUACAUAUAGCGGAGAUAGAUAUGGGAGAGGAAAGAAUAAGAAUGGAGCUGUAGUUGUAUGGGGAAGAGAGUAGAGUAGCUGAAGU
This 303-nucleotide unclassified non-coding RNA is filed under the name Hevea brasiliensis (rubber tree). The record is from RNAcentral. Lineage: Eukaryota; Viridiplantae; Streptophyta; Magnoliopsida; Malpighiales; Euphorbiaceae.